Small nuclear RNA from Neogale vison (American mink), 109 nucleotides. The record is from Ensembl. NCBI's taxonomy places the organism in Eukaryota, Metazoa, Chordata, Mammalia, Carnivora, Mustelidae.
GUGCUCACUCCAGCAACAUAGAUACUAAAAUUGGAACUGUUCAGAGAAGGUUAAUAAGGCCCCUGAGCAAAGGCAAGCCACUGAUUUUCUAUUAGCAUUCUGAGUUUUG